RNAcentral lists this ribosomal RNA (492 nucleotides) under uncultured bacterium. RNAcentral describes it as "bacterial SSU rRNA". It matches the Rfam family "Bacterial small subunit ribosomal RNA", at positions 903 to 1397 of the family's 1533-position model. The record is from RNAcentral.
AAAUGAAUUGACGGGGGCCCGCACAAGCAGUGGAGUAUGUGGUUUAAUUCGAAGCAACGCGAAGAACCUUACCAGGGCUUGACAUCCCUUGACCGCUGUAGAAAUACAGUUUCCCUUCGGGGCAAGGAGACAGGUGGUGCAUGGUUGUCGUCAGCUCGUGUCGUGAGAUGUUGGGUUAAGUCCCGCAACGAGCGCAACCCCUGUCGUUAGUUGCCAGCACGUAGAGGUGGGCACUCUAGCGAGACUGCCGGUGACAAAUCGGAGGAAGGUGGGGACGACGUCAAAUCAUCAUGCCCCUUAUGUCCUGGGCUACACACGUACUACAAUGGUUGCUACAGAGGGCAGCGAAGCCGCGAGGUGGAGCAAAUCCCUAAAAGCAGCCCCAGUUCGGAUUGCAGGCUGAAACUCGCCUGCAUGAAGUCGGAAUUGCUAGUAAUGGCAGGUCAGCAUACUGCCGUGAAUACGUUCCCGGGCCUUGUACACACCGCCCGU